Molecule: long non-coding RNA, 1457 nt
Filed under: Salmo salar (Atlantic salmon)
Lineage: Eukaryota; Metazoa; Chordata; Actinopteri; Salmoniformes; Salmonidae
Description: lncRNA (ENSSSAG00000118954.1, ENSSSAG00000119209.1)
Source: RNAcentral
GUAGUAUUUCUACCGUAGAUCUAGUAGUAUUUCUACUGUAGAUCUAGUAGUAUUUCUACCGUAGAUCUAGUAGUAUUUCUACCGUAGAUAUAGUAGUAUUUCUACCGUAGAUCUAGUAGUAUUUCUACCGUAGAUCUAGUAGUAUUUCUACUGUAGAUAUAGUAGUAUUUCUACCGUAGAUCUAGUAGUAUUUCUACCGUAGAUCUAGUAGUAUUUCUACCGUAGAUCUAGUAGUAUUUCUACCGUAGAUAUAGUAGUAUUUCUACCGUAGAUCUAGUAGUAUUUCUACCGUAGAUAUAGUAGUAUUUCUACCGUAGAUCUAGUAGUAUUUCUACCGUAGAUCUAGUAGUAUUUCUACCGUAGAUCUAGUAGUAUUUCUACCGUAGAUCUAGUAGUAUUUCUACCGUAGAUCUAGUAUUUAUCAGCAGUUCUUAAUCAGUUUGAUGAUGGGAAUAUUGGUAUUAUUGUUAAAGUGGUUUAGUUUUUCUGAUGGCUACCAAACCUUGAUUUGUUUAUUUUUUGGGGCUCCAGGAUGUUUUAGCUGAGUUGACUUCCUGUGUGAUUGGGUGUUCAUGUUCUAUUACAUAACAGGGUUUAUUAUUAAAGCCUAAUCAUCAAUCUGAUUAUUCUGAGGUUACGUCCCUAAUUACACCCAAUUCCCUGUAUAGUGCCCUCGGCCCUGGUCAAAAGUAGUGCACUAUAUAGGGAAUAGGGUGCCAUUUGGCUGGUGUAAAGUAGUGCACUAUAUAGGGAAUAGGGUGCCAUUUGGCAGGUGUAAAGUAGUGUACUAUAUAGGGAAUAGGGUGCCAUUUGGCAGGUGUAAAGUAGUGUACUAUAUAGGGAAUAGGGUGCCAUUUGGCAGGUGUAAAGUAGUGCACUAUAUAGGGAAUAGGGUGCCAUUUGGGAAUCAUCUUUACGUUCAUUGUGCACAAGGGGUUAAGUGCCUGUGGUAAGGAACAGCAGAGUUUGUGAAGACAGUGCCACUCCUACAGAGGCAGGUAUUGAACUAAAACAACCCAGUUAAUCACUUUAAUAACUUUGUUGAUAGAUGAUGACUAUGUUCAGAGUAACUUUUAUUCACCACGUGAUGGUACUGUAUGUCUGUACUACUGUCUUGUCUCAGCUGUGUGUUGUGAACAACUAGGACUAAAUAAUCCGAAUGUUUCAAGAAAACACUACAGAACAUGGAUGUGUCAUUUAAAAUGGAUAGUUUGAUGUGCUACUUAGAUGAUUUUUGGUCAUUUUGGAGCUUGUUGACUUCAACACCAGUUUUUUUUUGGGUCACUGGUUUGAGACAGUGGACACUGGAAGACAUUAUGGCCCACAAACCCCUUCAGGUUGAUCGUCUGUGAAAGCUGUAGUGGACUGAACCAAUUGUCUGUCUAUGCUUUAAACUCUAGCCUGCUAACUCUGCUUUCUACUCUCUGGGUUCUAGUCCCAGACUCUGUUCUCUUGGU